Molecule: long non-coding RNA, 150 nt
Organism: Vanessa tameamea
Lineage: Eukaryota; Metazoa; Arthropoda; Insecta; Lepidoptera; Nymphalidae
Exons: 3
Source: RefSeq, a predicted model, not a curated record
GUUCUCGUUUCGGAAUAUCAACAAUAUGCGCACCAGAAAAUAAAUAAAUGACAAUUGAAACAUUCUGCGAGCAAUUCAAACAACCAGACGUAGACAGUUCUGAAAAAAUGUAAUUUAUAAGGAAAUCACGUCACGUGCAAGCAAAGUGCA